GCCCCGGUAAACGGCGGCCGUAACUAUAACGGUCCUAAGGUAGCGAAAUUCCUUGUCGGGUAAGUUCCGACCUGCACGAAUGGCGUAAUGAUGGCCAGGCUGUCUCCACCCGAGACUCAGUGAAAUUGAACUCGCUGUGAAGAUGCAGUGUACCCGCGGCAAGACGGAAAGACCCCGUGAACCUUUACUAUAGCUUGACACUGAACAUUGAGCCUUGAUGUGUAGGAUAGGUGGGAGGCUUUGAAGUGUGGACGCCAGUCUGCAUGGAGCCGACCUUGAAAUACCACCCUUUAAUGUUUGAUGUUCUAACGUUGGCCCGUAAUCCGGGUUGCGGACAGUGUCUGGUGGGUAGUUUGACUGGGGCGGUCUCCUCCUAAAGAGUAACGGAGGAGCACGAAGGUUGGCUAAUCCUGGUCGGACAUCAGGAGGUUAGUGCAAUGGCAUAAGCCAGCUUGACUGCGAGCGUGACGGCGCGAGCAGGUGCGAAAGCAGGUCAUAGUGAUCCGGUGGUUCUGAAUGGAAGGGCCAUCGCUCAACGGAUAAAAGGUACUCCGGGGAUAACAGGCUGAUACCGCCCAAGAGUUCAUAUCGACGGCGGUGUUUGGCACCUCGAUGUCGGCUCAUCACAUCCUGGGGCUGAAGUAGGUCCCAAGGGUAUGGCUGUUCGCCAUUUAAAGUGGUACGCGAGCUGGGUUUAGAACGUCGUGAGACAGUUCGGUCCCUAUCUGCCGUGGGCGCUGG
Molecule: ribosomal RNA, 741 nt
Filed under: Escherichia coli
Lineage: Bacteria; Pseudomonadati; Pseudomonadota; Gammaproteobacteria; Enterobacterales; Enterobacteriaceae
Description: partial 23S ribosomal RNA
Rfam family: Bacterial large subunit ribosomal RNA
Source: RNAcentral